RNAcentral lists this ribosomal RNA (250 nucleotides) under uncultured bacterium. RNAcentral describes it as "partial 16S ribosomal RNA". It matches the Rfam family "Bacterial small subunit ribosomal RNA", at positions 15 to 252 of the family's 1533-position model. The record is from RNAcentral.
GAUCAUGGCUCAGGACGAACGCUGGCGGCGCGCCUAACACAUGCAAGUCGAACGAGCGAGAGAGAGCUUGCUUUCUCGAGCGAGUGGCGAACGGGUGAGUAACGCGUGAGGAACCUGCCUCAAAGAGGGGGGACAACAGUUGGAAACGACUGCUAAUACCGCAUAAGCCCACGACCCGGCAUCGGGUAGAGGGGAAAAAGGGAAGGCAAUCCGCCUUGUAGAUGGCUCGCGUCCGACUUAGUCUAGUUGG